GACAGAGGAUGCAAGCGUUAUCCGGAAUGAUUGGGCGUAAAGCGUCUGUAGGUGGCUUUUCAAGUCCGCCGUCAAAUCCCAGGGCUCAACCUUGGAUAGGCUGUGGAAACUACCAAUCUGGAUUACGGUAGGGGCAGAGGGAAUUUCCGGUGGAGCGGUGAAAUGCGUAGAGAUCGGGAAGAACACCAACGGCGAAAGCACUCUGCUGGGCCGACACUGACACUGAGAGACGAAAGCUAGGGGAGCAAAUGGG
This 253-nucleotide ribosomal RNA is filed under the name uncultured bacterium. Its description in RNAcentral is "partial 16S ribosomal RNA". It matches the Rfam family "Bacterial small subunit ribosomal RNA", at positions 524 to 776 of the family's 1533-position model. The record is from RNAcentral.